Molecule: ribosomal RNA, 315 nt
Filed under: uncultured eukaryote
Lineage: Eukaryota
Description: partial 18S ribosomal RNA
Rfam family: Eukaryotic small subunit ribosomal RNA
Source: RNAcentral
CCCUUAGACGUUCUGGGCCGCACGCGCGCUACACUGACCAGUGCAACAAGCAUCCGUCCUUGGCCGACAGGCCCGGGCAAUCUUUGAACGCUGGUCGUGAUGGGGAUAGACUUUUGCAAUUUUUGGUCUUCAACGAGGAAUUCCUAGUAAACGCAAGUCAUCAACUUGCAUUGAUUACGUCCCUGCCCUUUGUACACACCGCCCGUCGCACCUACCGAUUGAAUGGUCCGGUGAAGCCUCCGGAUUGGCGCGCACCUCGGUGCCGCCGAGAAGUUGGCUAAACCUUACCAUUUAGAGGAAUGUGAAGUCGUAACA